This 253-nucleotide ribosomal RNA is filed under the name uncultured bacterium. Its description in RNAcentral is "partial 16S ribosomal RNA". It matches the Rfam family "Bacterial small subunit ribosomal RNA", at positions 524 to 776 of the family's 1533-position model. The record is from RNAcentral.
UACAGAGGUGGCGAGCGUUGUUCGGAUUUACUGGGCGUAAAGGGUGCGUAGGUGGUUUUGCGUGUCGGACGUGAAAGCCCACUGCUUAACGGUGGAACGGCGUUCGAAACUGCAGAGCUUGAGUUCAGGAGAGGAGAGCGGAAUUCUCGGUGUAGCGGUGGAAUGCGUUGAUAUCGAGAAGAACACCGGUGGCGUAGGCGGCUCUCUGGAAUGACACUGACACUGAGGCACGAAAGCGUGGGGAGCAAACAGG